This 253-nucleotide ribosomal RNA is filed under the name uncultured bacterium. Its description in RNAcentral is "partial 16S ribosomal RNA". It matches the Rfam family "Bacterial small subunit ribosomal RNA", at positions 524 to 776 of the family's 1533-position model. The record is from RNAcentral.
UACGUAGGGCGCAAGCGUUGUCCGGAAUUAUUGGGCGUAAAGAGCUCGUAGGCGGCCAGUUGCGUCUGCUGUGAAAUCCCGGGGCUCAACCCCGGGCGUGCAGUGGAUACGGGCUGGCUAGAGGCAGGCAGGGGAGAACGGAAUUCCUGGUGUAGCGGUGAAAUGCGCAGAUAUCGGGAAGAACACCCGUGGCGAAGGCGGCUCUCUGGGACGGUACUGACGCUGAGACGCGAAAGCGUGGGGAGCGAACAGG